This 460-nucleotide ribosomal RNA is filed under the name uncultured bacterium. RNAcentral describes it as "partial 16S ribosomal RNA". It matches the Rfam family "Bacterial small subunit ribosomal RNA", at positions 338 to 795 of the family's 1533-position model. The record is from RNAcentral.
CCUACGGGAGGCAGCAGUGAGGAAUAUUGGUCAAUGGACGAGAGUCUGAACCAGCCAAGUAGCGUGAAGGAUGACUGCCCUAUGGGUUGUAAACUUCUUUUAUAUGGGAAUAAAAUGUUCCACGUGUGGGAUUUUGUAUGUACCAUAUGAAUAAGGAUCGGCUAACUCCGUGCCAGCAGCCGCGGUAAUACGGAGGAUCCGAGCGUUAUCCGGAUUUAUUGGGUUUAAAGGGAGCGUAGGUGGAUUGUUAAGUCAGUUGUGAAAGUUUGCGGCUGCACCGUAAAAUUGCAGUUGAAACUGGCAGUCUUGAGUACAGUAGAGGUGGGCGGAAUUCGUGGUGUAGCGGUGAAAUGCUUAGAUAUCACGAAGAACUCCGAUUGCGAAGGCAGUUCACUGGACUGCAACUGACACUGAGGCUCGAAAGUGUGGGUAUCAAACAGGAUUAGAUACCCUAGUAGUC